GUCAGGUUUAUUACAACCCUCAUCAGCACAAAAUUGGCUAAGCUCCCAAGGUGGUUCAUCAGGUCUUAUUGUGAAGAGAACCAUCAGAGUAGAUGUUCCUGUCGACAACUUCCCUAAUUAUAACUUUGUCGGCCGCCUCCUUGGACCUAGGGGAAACUCUCUCAAGCGAGUGGAGGCAAGUACUGAUUGUCGAGUUUUGAUUAGAGGGCGUGGUAGCAUUAAGGAUCCAGCUAGGGA
This 237-nucleotide unclassified non-coding RNA is filed under the name Hevea brasiliensis (rubber tree). The record is from RNAcentral. Lineage: Eukaryota; Viridiplantae; Streptophyta; Magnoliopsida; Malpighiales; Euphorbiaceae.